RNAcentral lists this unclassified non-coding RNA (345 nucleotides) under soil metagenome. RNAcentral describes it as "partial contains 5.8S ribosomal RNA, internal transcribed spacer 2, and large subunit ribosomal RNA". The stretch from base 1 to 120 matches the Rfam family "5.8S ribosomal RNA", at positions 35 to 154 of the family's 154-position model. The record is from RNAcentral.
GAUGAAGAACGUAGUGAAAUGCGAUACGUAAUGUGAAUUGCAGAAUUCAGUGAAUCAUCGAAUCUUUGAACGCACAUUGCGCCCCUUGGUAUUCCGGGGGGCAUGCCUGUCCGAGCGUCAUUGCUGCCCUCAAGCACGGCUUGUGUGUUGGGCCUCCGUCCUCCUCCCGGGGGACGGGCCCGAAAGGCAGCGGCGGCACCGCGUCCGGUCCUCGAGCGUAUGGGGCUUCGUCACCCGCUCUUGUAGGCCCGGCCGGCGCUUGCCGACACAUCAAUCUUUUUUCCAGGUUGACCUCGGAUCAGGUAGGGAUACCCGCUGAACUUAAGCAUAUCAAUAAGCGGAGGA